RNAcentral lists this non-coding RNA (109 nucleotides) under unclassified sequences. RNAcentral's name for it is "c-di-GMP sequence". It matches the Rfam family "c-di-GMP-II-GCG riboswitch aptamer". The record is from Rfam by way of RNAcentral.
CUGCCGCCGGGACGCAGUGAUCCUCGCAGGGUCGCACGGUCGCCUCGGGUCGGCCUCGUGUCGGCUCGACCUGCGAGGGGAGCGAGUGGCGAGCCCGACCCGGGUGUCC